RNAcentral lists this long non-coding RNA (285 nucleotides) under Nicotiana benthamiana. Its description in RNAcentral is "long non-coding RNA (NBEN_LNC023679)". Lineage: Eukaryota; Viridiplantae; Streptophyta; Magnoliopsida; Solanales; Solanaceae. The record is from RNAcentral.
CUAAUCAACACUCCCCCUCAAGUUGGUGCAAAGAUGUCGCACAUGCCCAACUUGCAAACCAAAGUGUGAAGAGUCUUUUUGCUAAGACCUUUUGUGAGCACAUCUGCUAGCUGCUUUUCUGACGAUACAUGAAGCAAACUCAAGGUACCACCAACAAUCUUUUCUUUGAUGAAAUGUCGAUCGUAGCUGCUUUUCUGACGAUACAUGAAGCAAACUCAAGGUACCACCAACAAUCUUUUCUUUGAUGAAAUAUCGAUCGAUUUCAACAUGUGUUGUUCUAUCAUG